Non-coding RNA from Gossypium raimondii (Peruvian cotton), 107 nucleotides. NCBI's taxonomy places the organism in Eukaryota, Viridiplantae, Streptophyta, Magnoliopsida, Malvales, Malvaceae. The record is from Rfam.
AAUCUGUGGUGCGAACAUUUUUGAAUCAACAUUUUGAAACGUUUUCAUGGCUCAUAGAAACUUUCUCCCUCUAUCUGUCUAAAGACAACGAUCUCUCUUCUUAGUUA